This 204-nucleotide unclassified non-coding RNA is filed under the name plant metagenome. RNAcentral's name for it is "partial contains small subunit ribosomal RNA, internal transcribed spacer 1, and 5.8S ribosomal RNA". The record is from RNAcentral.
UUUCCGUAGGUGAACCUGCGGAAGGAUCAUUACAAAAUCCGGUUUGGGUUGGUGGUGGGAGUUGUAUUGUAGGUAGAAGGGAGUUUUCUUUUCUACCACUCUACUUACUACUCGCCCCCCCUCAUCAUUUGCGCUUGUAUUGUUUGACAGAGUAAUUUUUAUACAUAUAAAUGACAACUUUUAACAAUGGAUCUCUGGGCUCUU